UUGAACGCUGGCGGAAUGCUUUACACAUGCAAGUCGAACGGCAGCACGGGGGCAACCCUGGUGGCGAGUGGCGAACGGGUGAGUAAUGUAUCGGAACGUACCCAGUCGUGGGGGAUAACUAUCCGAAAGGAUAGCUAAUACCGCAUACGUCCUGAGGGAGAAAGCGGGGGAUCGCAAGACCUCGCGCGAUUGGAGCGGCCGAUAUCGGAUUAGCUAGUUGGUGAGGUAAAGGCUCACCAAGGCGACGAUCCGUAGCGGGUCUGAGAGGACGACCCGCCACACUGGAACUGAGACACGGUCCAGACUCCUACGGGAGGCAGCAGUGGGGAAUUUUGGAUAAUGGGCGCAAGCCUGAUCCAGCCAUGCCGCGUGAGUGAAGAAGGCCUUCGGGUUGUAAAGCUCUUUCGGCCGGGACGAAAUCGCUCUCGCUAAUACCGGGAGUGGAUGACGGUACCGGAAUAAGAAGCACCGGCUAACUACGU
This 482-nucleotide ribosomal RNA is filed under the name uncultured bacterium. RNAcentral describes it as "bacterial SSU rRNA". It matches the Rfam family "Bacterial small subunit ribosomal RNA", at positions 29 to 506 of the family's 1533-position model. The record is from RNAcentral.